RNAcentral lists this ribosomal RNA (305 nucleotides) under uncultured bacterium. RNAcentral's name for it is "bacterial SSU rRNA". It matches the Rfam family "Bacterial small subunit ribosomal RNA", at positions 333 to 652 of the family's 1533-position model. The record is from RNAcentral.
UAGGGCCUACGGGAGGCAGCAGUGGGGAAUAUUGCACAAUGGGGGAAACCCUGAUGCAGCGACGCCGCGUGAAGGAAGAAGGCUUUCGGGUUGUAAACUUCUUUUCUGGGGGACGAAGAAAGUGACGGUACCCCAGGAAUAAGCCACGGCUAACUACGUGCCAGCAGCCGCGGUAAUACGUAGGUGGCAAGCGUUAUCCGGAUUUAUUGGGUGUAAAGGGCGUGUAGGCGGGAAUGCAAGUCAGAUGUGAAAACUAUGGGCUCAACCCAUAGCCUGCAUUUGAAACUGUAUUUCUUGAGUGCUGG